UUAAAAGAUUUGCAUUGUCUAGGAAAGGUUUAUCGCUCAGUAUGCUGGAAGUCGAAAACAUAAAGGACAAUGCAAGAUCUGUUGAAGAAAGGAAUCUGCAAAUGUUGACUCAGUGGAAAUACAAGAAUGGUGAAUCAGCAACAACUGAAAAAAUCUGGCAACUAGUAGAUGGUUUCCUGAAUGAAAAUGAUGAAUCUGACCAAGAUUCUCCUCAUCCAACAACACUCGCG
This is a non-coding RNA of Styela clava, 230 nucleotides long. NCBI's taxonomy places the organism in Eukaryota, Metazoa, Chordata, Ascidiacea, Stolidobranchia, Styelidae. The record is from RefSeq and is a predicted model, not a curated record.